Transfer RNA from Smittium culicis, 73 nucleotides. It matches the Rfam family "tRNA". Rfam says of the family: Transfer RNA (tRNA) molecules are approximately 80 nucleotides in length. Their secondary structure includes four short double-helical elements and three loops (D, anti-codon, and T loops). Further hydrogen bonds mediate the characteristic L-shaped molecular structure. tRNAs have two regions of fundamental functional importance: the anti-codon, which is responsible for specific mRNA codon recognition, and the 3' end, to which the tRNAs corresponding amino acid is attached (by aminoacyl-tRNA synthetases). tRNAs cope with the degeneracy of the genetic code in two manners: having more than one tRNA (with a specific anti-codon) for a particular amino acid; and 'wobble' base-pairing, i.e. permitting non-standard base-pairing at the 3rd anti-codon position. NCBI's taxonomy places the organism in Eukaryota, Fungi, Kickxellomycota, Harpellomycetes, Harpellales, Legeriomycetaceae. The record is from Rfam.
GCCCCCGUGGCCAAGUGGAUAAGGUGUCUGCCUCCUAAGCAGAAGAUCCCGGGUUCAAAUCCCGGCUGGGGUU